Molecule: ribosomal RNA, 544 nt
Filed under: Plasmodium relictum
Lineage: Eukaryota; Apicomplexa; Aconoidasida; Haemosporida; Plasmodiidae
Description: bacterial SSU rRNA
Rfam family: Eukaryotic small subunit ribosomal RNA
Source: RNAcentral
AUGAUUUGUCUGGUUAAUUCCGAUAACGAACGAGAUCUUAACCUGCUAAUUAGCGGUAAAUACAACAUAUUCUUAAGUAAAUAAGAAUAUAGAUAAAAAUAACAAAUAAGAGAAUAUAUUAAGAUGUUAUUAUAUAUAAUGUCUUCUUCCCUGUUCUUCUUGUAUUGUUUUUUUAUUCUAUUUCUUUUUUUACGUAAGAAUGUAUUUACUUGAUUGUAAAGCUUCUUAGAGGGACAUUGUGUGUCUAACACAAGGGAAGUUUAAGGCAACAACAGGUCUGUGAUGUCCUUAGAUGAACUAGGCUGCACGCGUGCUACACUGAUAUAUAUAACGAGUUAUUAAAAGUAUAUCUUUGUAUAUAUAUAUUCUAUAUAAAUAUACAAAAGAUAUAAUUUUCCUCCACUGAAAAGUGUAGGUAAUCUUUAUCAAUAUAUAUCGUAAUGGGGAUAGAUUAUUGCAAUUAUUAAUCUUGAACGAGGAAUGCCUAGUAAGCAUGAUUCAUCAGAUUGUGCUGACUACGUCCCUGCCCUUUGUACACACCGCC